This is a non-coding RNA of Ictidomys tridecemlineatus (thirteen-lined ground squirrel), 69 nucleotides long. Lineage: Eukaryota; Metazoa; Chordata; Mammalia; Rodentia; Sciuridae. The record is from Rfam.
GGGUUUGUGGCUCAGUGGCAGAGCACUUGCCUGGCAUGCAUGAGGCACUGGGUUUAAUUUUCAGCACCG